AUGGACGCAAGUCUGAUGGAGCAACGCCGCGUGAGUUGAAGAAGGCUUUCGGGUCGUAAAACUCUGUUGUUGGAGAAGAAUGGUCGGCAGAGUAACUGUUGUCGGCGUGACGGUAUCCAACCAGAAAGCCACGGCUAACUACGUGCCAGCAGCCGCGGUAAUACGUAGGUGGCAAGCGUUAUCCGGAUUUAUUGGGCGUAAAGCGAGCGCAGGCGGUUUUUUAAGUCUGAUGUGAAAGCCCUCGGCUUAACCGAGGAAGCGCAUCGGAAACUGGGAAACUUGAGUGCAGAAGAGGACAGUGGAACUCCAUGUGUAGCGGUGAAAUGCGUAGAUAUAUGGAAGAACACCAGUGGCGAAGGCGGCUGUCUGGUCUGUAACUGACGCUGAGGCUCGAAAGCAUGGGUAGCGAACAGGAUUAGAUACCCUGGUAGUCCAUGCCGUAAACGAUGAAUGCUAGGUGUUGGAGGGUUUCCGCCCUUCAGUGCCGCAGCUAACGCAUUAAGCAUUCCGCCUGGGGAGUACGACCGCAAGGUUGAAACUCAAAGGAAUUGACGGGGGCCCGCACAAGCGGUGGAGCAUGUGGUUUAAUUCGAAGCAACGCGAAGAACCCUUACCAGGUCUUGA
RNAcentral lists this ribosomal RNA (624 nucleotides) under Lacticaseibacillus paracasei. RNAcentral describes it as "bacterial SSU rRNA". It matches the Rfam family "Bacterial small subunit ribosomal RNA", at positions 371 to 984 of the family's 1533-position model. The record is from RNAcentral. Lineage: Bacteria; Bacillati; Bacillota; Bacilli; Lactobacillales; Lactobacillaceae.